Molecule: ribosomal RNA, 425 nt
Filed under: uncultured bacterium
Lineage: Bacteria
Description: partial 16S ribosomal RNA
Rfam family: Bacterial small subunit ribosomal RNA
Source: RNAcentral
GUGGGGAAUCUUAGACAAUGGGGGAAACCCUGAUCUAGCCAUGCCGCGUGAGCGAUGAAGGCCUUAGGGUUGUAAAGCUCUUUCAGCUGGGAAGAUAAUGACGGUACCAGCAGAAGAAGCCCCGGCUAACUCCGUGCCAGCAGCCGCGGUAAUACGGAGGGGGCUAGCGUUGUUCGGAAUUACUGGGCGUAAAGCGCGCGUAGGCGGACCAGAAAGUUGGAGGUGAAAUCCCAGGGCUCAACCUUGGAACUGCCUUCAAAACUCCUGGUCUGGAGUUCGGGAGAGGUGAGUGGAAAUCCGAGUGUAGAGGUGAAAUUCGUAGAUAUUCGGAGGAACACCAGUGGCGAAGGCGGCUCACUGGCUCGAUACUGACGCUGAGGUGCGAAAGCGUGGGGAGCAAACAGGAUUAGAAACCCUUGUAGUCC